AUGUGGAUGCUUAGCAAGCUUGUGAGGCACACCAUUGGCAGAAGGCCUCACAAGCUGCUUCACUUGUUGAAUCUCCACUCCCUUCCAAGUUUGCUGCAACUCCAGAGCAUCAGCCUUGGCAGUUGCGACAUCCAGCUCCAGCGCCAGUUGGUUGCAAAACUCGGAGUUGUGCGCACUCGGGGUCCUCCAAUUCGUACCUUGAUGUCCAAAAUGUCACUCUGGAACAAGUUUGCCAAACCAUCAAAUGCUCUACUACCUGUUCUGGACUGUGUACAGCCUCUACUACCUGUUCGGCAACAACUAGCAGACGAUGGCUUGUUAUGUGGUUUGGCACUGCAGGUGAUGGGCAAGUCCAAGUAA
This 360-nucleotide ribosomal RNA is filed under the name Triticum aestivum (bread wheat). Its description in RNAcentral is "partial small subunit ribosomal RNA". The record is from RNAcentral. Lineage: Eukaryota; Viridiplantae; Streptophyta; Magnoliopsida; Poales; Poaceae.